GGGUCUAUAGCUUAGUGGUAGAGCAUUUGACUAUAGAUCAAGAGGUCAUCGAUUUGAUCCC
RNAcentral lists this transfer RNA (61 nucleotides) under Vitis vinifera (wine grape). It matches the Rfam family "tRNA". From Rfam's summary of the family: Transfer RNA (tRNA) molecules are approximately 80 nucleotides in length. Their secondary structure includes four short double-helical elements and three loops (D, anti-codon, and T loops). Further hydrogen bonds mediate the characteristic L-shaped molecular structure. tRNAs have two regions of fundamental functional importance: the anti-codon, which is responsible for specific mRNA codon recognition, and the 3' end, to which the tRNAs corresponding amino acid is attached (by aminoacyl-tRNA synthetases). tRNAs cope with the degeneracy of the genetic code in two manners: having more than one tRNA (with a specific anti-codon) for a particular amino acid; and 'wobble' base-pairing, i.e. permitting non-standard base-pairing at the 3rd anti-codon position. The record is from Rfam by way of RNAcentral. Lineage: Eukaryota; Viridiplantae; Streptophyta; Magnoliopsida; Vitales; Vitaceae.